GGGCCUUCGCUCAGUGGUUAGAGCAUCUGCUUUGAAUUCAGAAGACCCAGGUGCAAUCUCUGGGGUCUCCA
Podarcis lilfordi (Lilford's wall lizard) is the source of this 71-nucleotide non-coding RNA. NCBI's taxonomy places the organism in Eukaryota, Metazoa, Chordata, Lepidosauria, Squamata, Lacertidae. The record is from the annotation of a GenBank genome assembly.